Molecule: unclassified non-coding RNA, 2301 nt
Filed under: Hevea brasiliensis (rubber tree)
Lineage: Eukaryota; Viridiplantae; Streptophyta; Magnoliopsida; Malpighiales; Euphorbiaceae
Source: RNAcentral
AAAAAAAAAAAAAAAAAAAUCAUGAUUACGUAUCUUUCCUUUCCAUCCUGCAACGAACACCUCCCAAAGAUCUGUAAUUCUUAGCUUUUUAACAUCUCCACUCGAAGGUUCCUCUUCUCCUACCUCCACUACCCUUCCUUCUUCAACAAACCCUACAUUAAUCAAUCCUUAAUCUUGCAGAUCUGCAUAAUAUUACCGCUCAUUUCGAUCGAAUAUUUCAUUUCGUUUUCAAAUUUUGAUUCCGCAGAUCCAAUCAUGGAUUUCAUGAAGGUAUUCGACCAGACAGUCCGCGAAAUAAAGAGAGAGGUUAAUCUCAAGGUCCUGAAGGUUCCCGAGAUCGAGCAGAAGGUGUUGGAUGCAACUGAUGAUGCGCCUUGGGGUCCUCAUGGCACUGCAUUGGCAGAAAUUGCACAGGCCACUAAGAAAUUCACCGAAUGUCAGAUGGUUAUGAAUGUUCUGUGGACAAGAUUAGGUGAAACAGGCAAGGACUGGCGUCUUGUCUACAAGGCGUUAUCUGUUAUAGAGUAUUUGGUGGCUCAUGGUUCUGAGCGUGCUGUUGAUGACAUAAUAGAACAUACAUUCCAGAUAUCAUCACUUACAAGUUUUGAAUACGUUGAGCCAAGUGGAAAGGAUUUGGGACUUAAUGUGAGGAAGAAGGCAGAAAAUAUUGUGGCUCUCUUGAAUGAUAAGGAAAAAAUACAAGAAACCAGAAAUAAAGCUGCUGCAAACCGUGAGAAGUACUUUGGUCUUUCAUCUACAGGAAUAACUUAUAAAUCAGGUUCAGCCUCAUACAGUAGUAGUGGCUUCCAGAGUAGUAAUCGAUAUGGAGGCCUAAGUGGUACAAGAGACAGUGAUAGUUUUAGGGACAGUUAUAGAGACAAGGAUCAUUAUGGAGAAGAAAAGACUGAGAAGGAUACCUAUGGAAAGUCACGUCAAGGGGGUGUGACUGAUGAUCCAGGGAACAUGUGGAAGAAGGGUUCGACAUGCAGUGGCAGGGAUCAGAAUAAUGUGUCAGUCAAUGCAUCAAAGUCGUCAUCUAAGUUAAAUGAUCCUCACAAAAACAAUUCAGUUCCUUCCCAACAUGCAAAUGCCCCUUCAAGUACCUAUGGUGAUGACUUCGAUGAUGAUUUUGAUCCCAGGGGAACUUCCAGCUCUAAGACAGCUGCUGAAACUUCUAAUCAAGUUGAUCUGUUUGGAGAAAGUCUGAUUGGCGGCCUCAUGGAUGCACCAACAUCUGUUUCCACAGAGACAUCAGCCAUGAAUGGCAAUUCAUCAGAGGUUGAUCUGUUCGCCGAUGCAACUUUUGUAUCAGCACCUCCCCAAGUAGAAAAGGGAGCAAGUACUCAGUCUCAGACUCAGGUUGAUCUGUUUGCUUCCCAGUCUGUCAUUCCUCCUGCAGUUCCUCCAGCGGUUGAUUUAUUUUCCAGUGCUGAUCCAGUUGUGCAACCAGAAACCAAGGGCCAAAAAUCUGAUUCAACAAACAAUAACAUCGUUGAUCCAUUUGCUGCAGUUCCAUUGAACAAUUUUGAUGGAUCUGAUCUUUUUGGUGCAUUCUCUUCUAGGUCCAAUUCAGCUUCUACUGAACCUGCAAAAGAUCCUAUAAAUGGUGGCGGCCUUAAUGAUUUGAAUGUGAAUGCUUCAGACUCCAAGCCUACACCAAAGAAGGAGACUUUCCAGAUCAAGUCUGGAAUAUGGUCAGAUUCAUUAAGCCGUGGACUGAUUGAUCUCAAUAUAUCUGUUCCUAAGAAAGUAUCACUAGUGGAUGUUGGUGUCGUUGGUGAUCUGAGUGAUGGAAAAGAUGAAAAGGACAAGGGACCGCCAGCUUCUCUCUAUAUGGGAAGAGCCAUGGGCACAGGGUCUGGUCUUGGUAGAUCUGCGUUUACAUCUUCAGAGUCACAGGCAUUGGAUUCAGAUUUCUUCUCAAGCCUCAGCAGCCAACAAUACCAACUUGGUAGUUUUAAGAAGUAAAUUUUUUACAUAAUCAAAUCACUAUUGUUUUCAUUUUUGUCCCUGAUUAUCUUCUCAAUAUUCUUUUGCCCAUUUGGCAAAGAAAAUUUGAUAUGUUGAGCAUAUUUGUGUGCCAAGUCGUGUUCAUAAAUGAAAACAAUAGUGAUUUGAUUAAAAAAUCCGUCAUGAGUGAGAGUACUUUUACAAGACUGUUUAUGUUCAAUUGAUUACAUAAAUAGCGUCCUUAUGAAGUCACGACCUUUGGUGACCACGUUUGUAAUAUUAGAUCUGUAAUUUCAAUUUCUGCUGUUGAUUAGGCACGAGGAAAACCUCAUUAAACAAUUCCAAGCAAGG